RNAcentral lists this ribosomal RNA (310 nucleotides) under uncultured bacterium. RNAcentral describes it as "partial 16S ribosomal RNA". It matches the Rfam family "Bacterial small subunit ribosomal RNA", at positions 503 to 808 of the family's 1533-position model. The record is from RNAcentral.
AAGAGACAGCAGCAGCCGCGGGAAUACGGAGGGAGUUAGCGUUGUUCGGAAUUACUGGGCGUAAAGCGCACGUAGGCGGCUUUGUAAGUCAGAGGUGAAAGCCUGGAGCUCAACUCCAGAACUGCCUUUGAGACUGCAUCGCUUGAAUUCAGGAGAGGUGAGUGGAAUUCCGAGUGUAGAGGUGAAAUUCGUAGAUAUUCGGAAGAACACCAGUGGCGAAGGCGGCUCACUGGACUGGUAUUGACGCUGAGGUGCGAAAGCGUGGGGAGCAAACAGGAUUAGAACCCCGGUAGUCCCUGUCUCUUAUACC